GUGUCAGCAGCCGCGGUAAUACGUAGGGUGCAGGCGUUAAUCGGAAUUACUGGGCGUAAAGCGUGCGCAGGCGGUUUCUUAAGUCAGAUGUGAAAGCCCCGGGCUUAACCUGGGAACUGCGUUUGAAACUGGGAGACUUGAGUGUGGCAGAGGGGGGUGGAAUUCCACGUGUAGCAGUGAAAUGCGUAGAUAUGUGGAGGAACACCGAUGGCGAAGGCAGCCCCCUGGGUUAACACUGACGCUCAUGCACGAAAGCGUGGGGAGCAAACAGGAUUAGAAACCCCCGUAGUCC
RNAcentral lists this ribosomal RNA (292 nucleotides) under uncultured bacterium. Its description in RNAcentral is "partial 16S ribosomal RNA". It matches the Rfam family "Bacterial small subunit ribosomal RNA", at positions 505 to 796 of the family's 1533-position model. The record is from RNAcentral.